RNAcentral lists this ribosomal RNA (400 nucleotides) under uncultured bacterium. Its description in RNAcentral is "bacterial SSU rRNA". It matches the Rfam family "Bacterial small subunit ribosomal RNA", at positions 355 to 747 of the family's 1533-position model. The record is from RNAcentral.
UUAGGAAUAUUCGUCAAUGGGGGAAACCCUGAACGAGCAAUGCCGCGUGAGUGAUGAAGGCCCUAUGGGUUGUAAAACUCUGUUGUUGAGAAAGAAUUGUAAAAUCAGGAAAUGGGUUUUACUUGACGGUACUCUUCAAGAAAGCCACGACUAACUACGUGCCAGCAGUCGCGGUAAUACGUAGGUGGCAAGCGUUAUCCGGAUUUAUUGGGUGUAAAGCGUGCGCAGGCGGCUUGUUAAGUCUAAAAUAAAAGCCCGGAGCUUAACUCCGGUUCGUUUUAGAAACUGGCAGGCUUGAGUAUGGUAGAGGCAAAUGGAAUUCCUAGUGUAGCGGUGGAAUGCGUAGAUAUUAGGAGGAACACCAGUGGCGAAGGCGGUUUGCUGGGCCAUCACUGACGCU